Molecule: long non-coding RNA, 447 nt
Organism: Parus major (Great Tit)
Lineage: Eukaryota; Metazoa; Chordata; Aves; Passeriformes; Paridae
Exons: 2
Source: RefSeq, a predicted model, not a curated record
AGAGGAGGGGACAGGGAGGGCAGAGGAGGGGACAGGGACGGAGCACGGCCGGGACCAGCACUCACCGUCAGCUCCAGGGCCUCGUUGAGGAGCCCGUUGCGUUUGCUGUGCAGAUUCCCUUGUCCCAUUUUAACACCGAGCCUCCUGAUCAGUGUGAGAGUGAGAUCUCUGUGCUGGGCCAAGGUACCAAGGCACGGGCUGAGAACACAACGAGGAAGUGAAAUUGGAUCUUCACUUUUUCUGGAGACUUCCCUGAGCUGCUGUGUCACUCUCGGCCCUGGAAAGGACUGGCCUUUGGCUGUGGCCUGGAACAAAAUCCAUGGGGACUGCUGCUGUGGAAUGGGAGCCGUGGGAGAGAGCCAGGACAGGGGAUGAGCAAUAUUUCAUGGCAUGGUCCCUCUGUUCCUGGUAAUUACAUCUCCAUUAAAUUGUUCAUUCUAAAUGCAA